CCGUAGCUAAGGGGGGCGUGGCUUAGCGAAGGGUCAAAGGUCAGCAGUCCGCGUAGGUCACUCAUCGCUCACCUCGGCGCAGAGAGUAAUGGUAGCUUAAAGCUAUCUUAGCUGCUUUUAACGGAGCUCAAGUUCAUAUGGCACAAGUUUUUUUUUUUAUUAAGUUUGUCACAAAAUUUUGUCGCGAGGAAGAAGAGUUAAAAAAAAAUCUGCUGUCGUUCUCAAAGAAGCCUGCUCCCGCGCUUUUGUCCCAAAGUAGCUAGCUAACGUGGACAAACGUGGCUGCCAGUUAGCCCUAAAACAACCUGCCAGCACCCACCACCACCUGUGGUGAAGUACUGGACGCCUCCCCCCAGAAACAUAGCCUACUGUCCUAAAGGCUCUUUUAUAAACUGGCAUCAGGACAUGACUGGUGACACACUUAAUCAUUGGACCAUCAGUGCCCUGCAAUCAUCAAAGUUAUUCUAGAUGUACCUGGAGCUUCUCUCGCCACCGUCCACAAUCUAUUCAAAGUUUUUUCCAGCUUCUUUCGGGCGAGCUGGAGGCCGAGCUGCUGGGCUGCGACUGCAGAGGAGUGUUGGUCUCAUCAACAGAUGGAGAGAGAGAGGGACUGUCACACACUCUCUCCUGGAGAGAGAGAGAGAAGGAAUGAGCGCGCGGUGUACGUGAGUGUGUAUCUGCUGGGCUGCAGCGGCCAUGUUGGCGAUAGUGUUGAGGUGGUUCAUCUGUGACAUCGCCAUGGCUACAGAUGCAGGUGGCAGCCCCAUGGGCAGCAGAGGAUGGGGCAUCAU
Long non-coding RNA from Siniperca chuatsi (mandarin fish), 791 nucleotides. RefSeq lists it as uncharacterized. The transcript is spliced from 4 exons. Lineage: Eukaryota; Metazoa; Chordata; Actinopteri; Centrarchiformes; Sinipercidae. The record is from RefSeq and is a predicted model, not a curated record.